AAGGCCUGGCCAGUCAGUGAAUCGCAAAUGCGAGACCUCCUUUGCUCGAUUGUUAAGGAAGGUUGUAGCAAUAUAAAAGUUGCUUGAAAUUUCAGCAACAUGUUUAGGAGAAAUUUUGAGAUUUUGAGGAAGAGGCUCUCAAUUUUGGAUCACAGAAAAGUGGAGUUUCGACCACUAUUCGAGUAGCACACAUAGCCCAGGCACGAUGCAUGUCCACAAGACCACAAGUAUAGUCAGUUCGGCUGAACUUGAGUAAGCGUACUCAUGGUGCCGCGGUUAAAUUAAGCUUGAGUGUUUAUGCUCAUGGCAGCACAGUCGGAUUGACUUGGAUGAACGUACCUUGUCCCCACAGAUGUGCUCAUCUUGAGCUAUGUAUUAUGACACCAUCUCAGAUUAGCAGUUUGUGCAUCAUGUCUACUUUCAUUAUAUAUACUUUUGAUUUCAGUUCCACUGCUUUACUCAUAUUUCAUAUAUAUACUUGUAUUGAUAUGAUGAAGUGUUUGUACGAACUAUUAGCAAUUUUUAAAGAGUUGCUCAUGAGUAAGUUGGAA
Lycium ferocissimum is the source of this 551-nucleotide long non-coding RNA. RefSeq lists it as uncharacterized. Lineage: Eukaryota; Viridiplantae; Streptophyta; Magnoliopsida; Solanales; Solanaceae. The record is from RefSeq and is a predicted model, not a curated record. The transcript has 2 exons.